UGGCACUGGCUUACAAACGGCCUGGCCACUACUGCUGGAGGAAGCAACUACCACAGUCAUCAGCUCAUGACUACGACUACCACACCAUCGACCUCAACAUCGAGGACAACGACUACACCGACCAACAUAGACUCGGUUCACUGCGCUCGGUGACCACGCUGGGAGGAGCAACAGCGGCUACCAAACAGAUGCAUUGACAGUUUCCUGUUGGUCACACCGACCGAAGCAUGCUUGACUAAGGGCACUGGCUAAGAAAAGAGUGUGGGGCUCUACUGCUGGGGGAAGCGGCUACCAACGCCGCCAGCUACUGUUGCACGUGACUACGACUAGCACACCAUCGACCUCGACAACAGCUGGCUAGGAAAGGACAGCGACUACGCCAAACAAAGCAACGGCGGCUAUCCUAGGGAUGUAUUCUUUUCCUAUUCCUCUAUUCCUAGUCCUUGCUAUCCCUCGCUAAAUCGGCAGCCAUACUUUUAACAUGUUACAAACGUCGAAGGCUUAGAUAUAUAAACUUUACUUUUUGUGUAAAUUUGUCAAACAAAUGAAUUAGAUGCAAAGUUGCAAACGUAAAGGGCUUACAAAAAUCUUUUCGUUUUGUGGUUGAUAAAAAUACAUGAAAACCUGUGAAAUAAACAUAAAUCUGAACGAAAAUAGGAGUAAACACGAUGCCACUAGUUCAGUAGCCUCGCUAGUAGGUCUGUGUCCACCGCUCUCCGCACCAAGUGCAUGGUGUACAAUGGCGGGGGCAUCAGCCACACGGCAUCUGGAACUAACCAAUACGAGUUAUAAAUAUAAGGGGCAACAAAAUGCUUAUGCAUGGAUGUGGUUGCAAAGAAAUUCACAAAACCUUUGAGGGAAAAGUCUGAAUAAUAGUGAGAGAGGCAGCCACAAGGCAUAUCCAUGAAAAGUGAAAAACUUAAGAGCGCUUGCACAAACUUGGAAAUUUAUGUAGUCAAGAAAACAAAUCAUUACAUUCUUACGAAAAACAGAACUGUAUGAAAUAGAAAUGAGAAGAUGCCUGUACUUCGCAUUCAGUCUGUCGACAACUUCUCGCACAAAGCGAAGCAAACUGGCAUCUCACGAUUUUAACCGUUGAUUGCUUUAAGGCAGCAAAGUGCUUACCCUGUAUGUGGUUAAUAUAAAAUUAUUUAAGAAAACCUAAAGUGAAAUGAUCUCUAAAACGAAAAUGAAAAAGAGGCUUGCACUUUGUCAUGCUGGUAGGUCUGUGUUGACCGUUUCCUGCACUAAUGGCGGAAGCGGCAGCCACGUGGCAUCUGGAACUAUCCAAUAAAGUUAUAAACAUAAGAGGCAACAGGUGUAGGGUCUGAAGCUGUGUGCGUUAAAGGGAUAUUAUAGUUUGUUGUUUGCUUUGAUUUUGGUGGGUUUUUUUUUGGGGGGGGGGCGGUGUAUUGUUGUUUUUGCGUUUGUUGAUAUUAGUGUCAAGUGUGGAGUGGCGAGUGACGUCACCGUGUGAGUGGCUAGCUCCGCCCACAGGUUCGCCAUGUUUGUUAUGGUCGUCAAGGGUUACGCCAUGAGAACUCUGUGCACUGCAACUAACCAAUAAAGAGUCAAAAACAUAAGGGGUAACAAAUAUUUGAGUUAGAAACAAAACUGCAAAGAGAAAGGGAUACAAAAUCCUUCCUUUUGUGGUUGGUAAAAAAAAAAAAACUCUUUAAAUCUGUAAACUAAACACAGAUGUAUAAAAUGUGAGUGAACACGACGCCUCCAUGUGGCCAUGCUAUGACUCAACUCAGAAUGGCAGAAGUAGCUGCCAACUGGCAUCUGAAACUAAACAACAAAGAGUUCUAAACAUGUGGUUGCAAAAGAAUUCAGAAAACCUUUGAUGGAAAGUUGUACUUAUUAGAAUGAAUACGAUGCCUACACUUCGCCAUGCUAGUAGGAACUGACCAAUUCAAAAUGAAAUGUUGGGGAUGUCGUCUAUCAGGGAGAGCACACUAACCAGCGCAACGAAAAUUCUAGCAGUGGGUCACGUGGCCCCCUGACCACGCCACCUAUGCAACGUCCGGCUGUUCAGUUAACAGACGAUUGCUCGUAUUAAAAUUGUUCUUAUUCUAGAAAGCAGAUUAUCAUUAUAGUUUUCUUCUUUCCUUGUGCUAACCAGUUAUUUCUAACGAUAAAGACUUAGUGGUGUGGCACAUGUAUAUAUGUGCUAUUGAGUAUGAACUUUAUGUGCAGCUUAAUACAUCAGAAAUUAAAAAAAUGUCUAUGAGUGAGAGGAUAGAAAGCGAUAGUAGUAAAGACUAGUACACGUGCUGAUUGCUUUAAAGAAUGAGGAAACCGGAAUGAGAAGCAGUUACUGCCAUCUCUGUGUUAAUGUAGUGCACAUACCUACAUUGUUUAUGAUUUAAAGAAAAUGUAUAAGUGCAUUGCCCAAAUCACUUUCAGUGAUGUUUUCUGAUUAAUUUAUUUUCUGCAGCUGAAAUCCUGUAUUUGAGACUUAAGAAGGCAAGGGAAAGGCAGGCAAAAACCAAGAAUGCCAUCAGAGCAUGAAAGCAAGUAUGGCCAGAAAACUGCGUAACAUCUCUCAAAGAAACUAAAGGCAAUCAUCACUCAACUUCAGGCUGUUGCUAAUUUGCUGAAAGAUCAGGGCACCACCGUUUCUAUGGCCCAGCUUUGAGACCCAGGCCCACUUGCGAAUCCCUUCACACAACAAGGAGCCAGUGAGGACAGUCAACGGCGGUGGAAUGCUUUCAAGUCCAUGAAGAGGAUUUAGUGAUCUUCCAGAACUUCAAAAUGUUAACAUUGACUGCUCCAUUUCCAGUUGGCUUUUCAACCUUAGUGUCCAUCAAUCAAGCACCACUUCUUCAUAAUUCGUGUGCCCAGUGUGAAGUAACAGACAUUAUUAUGUGGACUUUGAUAUAGAUUGAGAUGCUGCUGAAGUGACUUUGCCAUAAGUAACUUUUCAUCUGUGUUUUUCUGUAACUGAUGCUAAAACUUCGCUGCGCCUCUCCCCACAACUAACUUUUGACACCACAAAUGGAGUCUGGUUGUCCGGCAGGAUCCAAUCCUUUCCAUGGCUCCACAACCCCAAUGCGGUCUGCAGCACUAACUACUCGAACACGUUUCGGUCGUGAGGUUAAAAUACCCAAAAUGGAAGACUUUGUGUAUGGACUGUACGACCUGUGCAUGAAUGUGUGUCACAACAAUGACGAACAGUACUAACGUUCGAAACCGUGACUAAUCCUCGACUUAGCUCGCGUCGCUUUUCUUAAUUUUCUUAUUUGUUUGUGUUGAUUUGUUUAUUGAACCUUUUAAACGGGAUGUUACAAUAUCUUACUGUCCCUUGUUUUCCACUCGUGUGUGUGUGUGUGUGUGUCCGAGUUAUCUAAUAAAAUACAUAACAGCUUGUC
Molecule: long non-coding RNA, 3374 nt
Filed under: Pomacea canaliculata
Lineage: Eukaryota; Metazoa; Mollusca; Gastropoda; Architaenioglossa; Ampullariidae
Description: uncharacterized LOC112558277
Source: RNAcentral